RNAcentral lists this ribosomal RNA (397 nucleotides) under uncultured Scuticociliatia. RNAcentral describes it as "partial small subunit ribosomal RNA". It matches the Rfam family "Eukaryotic small subunit ribosomal RNA", at positions 30 to 432 of the family's 1831-position model. Lineage: Eukaryota; Ciliophora; Oligohymenophorea. The record is from RNAcentral.
GCUUGUCUCAAAGAUUAAGCCAUGCAUGUCUAAGUACGCACGGCCGGUACAGUGAAACUGCGAAUGGCUCAUUAAAUCAGUUAUGGUUCCUUUGGUCGCUCGCUCCUCUCCUACUUGGAUAACUGUGGUAAUUCUAGAGCUAAUACAUGCUAUCAAGCCCGACUUCUUGAAGGGUUGUAUUUAUUAGACUUAAGCCAAUAUUCCUUGUGUCUAUUGCGAUGAUUCAUAAUAACUGAUCGAAUCUCAAAUUUGAGAUAAAUCAUUCAAGUUUCUGCCCUAUCAGCUUUCGAUGGUAGUGUAUUGGACUACCAUGGCAGUAACGGGUAACGAAGAAUUAGGGUUCGAUUUCGGAGAGGGAGCAUGAGAAACGGCUACCACAUCUAAGGAAGGCAGCAGG